RNAcentral lists this ribosomal RNA (2804 nucleotides) under human gut metagenome. RNAcentral's name for it is "bacterial LSU rRNA". It matches the Rfam family "Bacterial large subunit ribosomal RNA". The record is from RNAcentral.
AAUACUCUGUCAACAUGUACUGAAUACAUAGGUACAUGUGGGGAACCGCCUGAACUGAAACAUCUAAGUAGGGCGAGGAAGAGAAAUCAACCGAGAUUCCGCUAGUAGUGGCGAGCGAACGCGGAAGAGGCCAAACCGGAAGUAGCAAUAUUUCCGGGGUUAGGACUGCAAUAUGUAACUUUAAUCUUUAACUGAAUGCUUUGGGAAGAGCAGCGAUACAGGGUGAUAGCCCCGUAAGUGAAAAGGAUUGAGUGCUAGCAGUAUCCAGAGUACCAGCGGACACGUGAAACCCGCUGGGAAGAUGGGGGGACCAUCCUCCAAGCCUAAAUACUACUCAGUGACCGAUAGUGGAGCAGUACCGUGAGGGAAAGGUGAAAAGUACCCCGGGAGGGGAGUGAAACAGUCUCUGAAACCGUGCGCCUACAAUCCGUCGGAGCCCUUUUGUGGGGUGACGGCGUGCCUAUCGAAAAAUGAGUCUGCGAGUCAGUGGCGGGUGGCGAGCAUAAGCCGUGUGGCGUAUGCGUAGCGAAAGCGAGUCUUAAAAGGCGUUUUUAGUCGCUUGUCCUGGACCCGAAGCGGGAUGAUCUAGCCCUGGGCAGGUUGAAGCGCGGGUAAGACCGCGUGGAGGACCGAACCCACCUGGGUUGAAAACCGGGGGGAUGACCUGGGGCUAGGGGUGAAAGGCCAAUCAAAUUCCGUGAUAGCUGGUUCUCUCCGAAAUGCAUUUGGGUGCAGCGUCGGGUCAUUACGUCCCGGGGGUAGAGCUACUGGAUGCUUGCGGGCCCGAGUCGGCGGGGGAUAAGCUCCGUCGUCGAGAGGGAGACAGCCCAGACCGUCGUCUAAGGUCCCGAAGCGUGUGCUAAGUGGGAAAGGAUGUGGAGUCGCAUAGACAGCCAGGAGGUUGGCUCAGAAGCAGCCAUCCUUGAAAGAGUGCGUAACAGCUCACUGGUCUAGUGGUUCCGCGCCGACAAUGUAGCGGGGCUCAAGCACACCACCGAAGACGCGGCAGCAAUCUUCAUGGUUGCUGGGUAGGAGAGCGUCCUGCGAGGGGCGAAGCGGCCGGGUAACCGUGCCGUGGACUUCGUGGGAGUGAGAAUGCAGACAUGAGUAGCGAGAGACGGGUGAGGAUCCCGUCCGCUGGAUGACCAAGGGUUCCGGGGCCACGUUCGUCGUCCCCGGGUGAGUCGGGUCCUAAGGCGAGGCCGACAGGCGUAGUCGAAUGGAUGAACGGGUGGAUAUUCCCGUACCGACCAUGGACCGGCAAAACCGAGACGGUGAGUACUAACCUCCGCCUCGUGGUGGUUCCUUCCUUCGGGUUGGUUCCGCCGCGUGGUGUUGGGAGCGUAGCCGCAGUAGGUCAGCGCAGGGGUGACACGGAAUGGGAGCCGGCCGCGGAGGUGGUUUUCCGUGGUCAAGCACGCAGCCAGUCAUGUAGGCAAAUCCGCAUGGCGCGCAUGGCGAGGUGUGAUGAUGGGAGCCUUUCGGGCUCGAUAUCCGGUUGUCCAGGCCGUCGAGAAAAGCCUCGGCGUGAGGGCCAUGGCCGCCCGUACCCCAAACCGACACUGGUGGUCAGGUAGAGAAUACCAAGGCGAUCGAGCGAAUCCUGGUCAAGGAACUCGGCAAAUCACUCCCGUGCCUUCGGUAUAAGGGAGACCCGCUGGGGUGAACCGGCUAGCCCGGGGAGCUUUGGUGGGUGGCACAGACCAGGGGGUAGCGACUGUUUACCAAAAACACAGGUGCAUGCGAAGGCGAAAGCCGCUGUAUAUGCACUGACGCCUGCCCGGUGCCGGAAGGUUAAGAGGAGAGCUUAGCGCAAGCGAAGGUUUGAAUUUAAGCCCCAGUAAACGGCGGCCGUAAGUUCUGACCCGCACGAAUGGCGUAACGACUUCCCCACUGUCUCGACCAGGAGCUCGGCGAAAUUGCAGUACGAGUAAAGAUGCUCGUUAAGCGCAGAAGGACGAAAAGACCCCGGGACCUUUACUAUACCUUGGUAUUGGCGUUAGGCGCGGAUUGUGUAGCAUAGGCGGGAGGCUUCGAAGCGGGUGCGCCAGCAUUCGUGGAGCCGCAAGGUGAAAUACCGCUCUGUUCUCGUUUGACGUCUAACCUCGACAAGUCAUCCUUGUCAGGGACAGUGCCUGGCGGGUAGUUCAACUGGGGCGGUUGCCUCCCAAAGAGUAACGGAGGCGCUCAAAGGUCCGCUCAGCCCGGUUGGCAAUCGGGUGUCGAGUGUAAUCGCACAAGCGGGCUUGACUGCGAGGACGACGGUCCGAGCAGGGACGAAAGUCGGAGAUAGUGAUCCGGUGCCGGCGCACGGGCGCGGCAUCGCUCAACGGAUAAAAGGUACCCCGGGGAUAACAGGCUGAUCAUUCCCAAGAGUCCAUAUCGACGGGAUGGUUUGGCACCUCGAUGUCGGCUCGUCGCAUCCUGGGGCUGGAGCAGGUCCCAAGGGUUCGGCUGUUCGCCGAUUAAAGCGGCACGCGAGCUGGGUUCAGAACGUCGUGAGACAGUUUGGUCUCUAUCCUCUGCGCUCGUUGGAAUCCUGAGGAGGCCUGCCCAUAGUACGAGAGGACCUGGGUGGACGAACCUCUGGUAUGCCGGUUGUCGCGCCAGCGGCACGGCCGGUUGGCUACGUUCGGGAGGGAUAACCGCUGAAAGCAUCUAAGCGGGAAGCCUGCUCCAAGAUUAGGAUUCCGUACGGUCUUGAACCGUUGUAGCCCGCAUGUUGAACACGUGUUUGAUAGGCCGGAGGUGGAAGUCCCGUGAGGGGUGGAGCCGACCGGUACUAACGGGCGACGGCGACAUAA